UACGUAGGUGCGAGCGUUGCCCGGUAUUUGAUUGGGCGUAAAGGGCGCGUAGGCGGCUCUGCACGUCCGUUGUGAAAUCGCCCCGGCUCAACUGGGCGGGGUCAGCGGAUACGGCGGAGCUUGAGCAAGCUAGGGGGCAAUGGAAUUCCCGGUGUAGUGGUGGAAUGCGUAGAUAUCGGGAGGAACACCAGUGGCGAAGGCGGUUGCCUGGGGCUUUGCUGACGCUGAUGCGCGAAAGCGUGGGGAGCGAGUCCGG
RNAcentral lists this ribosomal RNA (256 nucleotides) under uncultured bacterium. Its description in RNAcentral is "partial 16S ribosomal RNA". It matches the Rfam family "Bacterial small subunit ribosomal RNA", at positions 524 to 777 of the family's 1533-position model. The record is from RNAcentral.